AAGAAAAACCCAAAAGCUGUAUAUACAUGAGCUAGCAAGAAAUACAAAAAGCCAAUGAAAAAGAAAAAAGAAAAAAGAAAAAAGAAAAAAGAAAAAAGAAAAAGAAAAGUAGUACUGCUAUUUAGCUAUUCGUUCUUGUUAGUUAUAGAGGCUUUACAGAAUAGUUGAAACCCUAAGUCCUCAAAUGAUAUUAUGACAAUAUGCGUAUUCUUUUUGAACUACAAAUGGGUUUCACUGUCACUCCACUAGCUAUGAAAACGAUAAAGAAAAGCAGGUUAAGGUAGCAUAUGACAUGAUCAAUUUAUCUACUUGGAGGAACAACAGACAAUAAUAAUAGAUACAAAAUAUGUAGCGUAUCGCAAAAUACGUAAGACCACUGAAUAUUAAGUAAAUCCAUUGAGGAAGAUGAUGAGUCCCUUUCGUCAUGAGAAUCAGAGAAGAGGAAAGCGACUCACACUACACCUUUCUCUCUCACACACAUAAACACACACAGAGAGAGAGAGAGAGAUGGUGUAUUUACAGAGUCUGAUAAGAUUGAACGUUCCCAUAUGGCAGAAUCUGCAGUGAAGUGGUAUGAAAAGGGUAAAACCAAUGAAACUCAUCUCUCUAGAUCUCGCGAAGGGAGAUAGAGAGCAGGUGGGUGUGUAUUGUUGUGUGUGUGUGAGAGAGAGAGAGAGAGAGAGAGAGAGAGAGAGAGAGAUAGAGAUAGAGAGCAGGUGGGUGUGUAUUGUUGUGUGUGUGUGAGAGAGAGAGAGAGAGAGAGAGAGAGAGAGAUUGUACAUUGGUAA
RNAcentral lists this long non-coding RNA (788 nucleotides) under Olea europaea (common olive). RNAcentral describes it as "long non-coding RNA (OEUR_LNC014326)". The record is from RNAcentral. Lineage: Eukaryota; Viridiplantae; Streptophyta; Magnoliopsida; Lamiales; Oleaceae.